UUAAAUAUGGGAUAUAGACGAGUGUGGCUUUUUCUAAGCCUUAGCACGCUUGUAUCCUCUCUAUCAAAGGGCAAAUUGAGUCACGAUUUAGGUCUCCCCGUACCCAUUAUGCAUGAAUUCCCUAGGUUCAUGCAUCCACUCUAUCAUUACACUUUCAUUUUCUCCCCUCAUUUGCACACGUACACCUUUAUCCCUUCACUUGCACACGAACACUUCUCCUCUCAUUUGCACACGUACACCUUUUUAUCCCUUCACUUGCACACAAGCACCUUUAUCCCUUCACUUGCACACGAACACUUCUCCCCUCAUUUGCACACGUACACCUUUUUAUCCCUUCACUUGCACACAAACACUUUUAUCAUCACUUGCACACAUGUACUUCAUAUUAUCAUUUCACACACCGCACCUUGCCCACUCACGUGCACAUUUCCAUUUACACAUUCUUAUCUUUUAUUACUUUUUCAAACUCAUGUCCUCACAUUGCAUACAUGCAUCCCAUUCAUUUGCAUCCCACUCGCAUUAUUCGUGAUUUCUUCAAAGGAUCGUUAUUGGGCUUCACGAUUAAUGUGAUUGGCACCACUCAACCUUUGAAGGGAAAUUUCCCCCAAUACCCCUAGGUCUAGGGUUUGCAUUCAUGUAGU
RNAcentral lists this long non-coding RNA (641 nucleotides) under Coffea arabica (coffee). RNAcentral describes it as "long non-coding RNA (CARA_LNC003685)". Lineage: Eukaryota; Viridiplantae; Streptophyta; Magnoliopsida; Gentianales; Rubiaceae. The record is from RNAcentral.